RNAcentral lists this microRNA precursor (68 nucleotides) under Bombyx mori (domestic silkworm). Its description in RNAcentral is "mir-2774 microRNA precursor family". It matches the Rfam family "mir-2774 microRNA precursor family". Lineage: Eukaryota; Metazoa; Arthropoda; Insecta; Lepidoptera; Bombycidae. The record is from Rfam by way of RNAcentral.
ACAACAUUUGGACCGUCGGUCUACCGAGCAAAUAUCACCCGCUCGGUGGGAGAUGUUCCCACCGUUGU